This 425-nucleotide long non-coding RNA is filed under the name Mytilus galloprovincialis (Mediterranean mussel). The record is from RNAcentral. Lineage: Eukaryota; Metazoa; Mollusca; Bivalvia; Mytilida; Mytilidae.
AACUUGAAAAAAAUAGGCAGGACAGGAGUUUUGAGUUAAAAAAAAAGGCAGGAUGAGACACUUGCAAAAAAAAAAAUUCAGGACUACAAUUUAGGUAAUAAAAAGUCAGGAUAAACUAAAAAAAAAAAAAAAAAAAGCAGGACCGAACAGAGUGAAAAAUAAAAAGGCAGGACAGAGAUUACAGCUAAAAAAAAAUGCAGGACAAAAUUUUUCAUCCUAGCCCCCCAUAAAAAUCAAAUGGUAGCUCCCUUAUAUGUCAGUUGUAUUUUAAAAGACAAAUGUAUCAACUAGUUAAUGAGCAUCAGUUAAUGAUCUUGUCUGCAUUGAUUUAACUUAAAACUAUUGUCUGAUCGGUUGUCAGGUGGAAUUUUUGAAAACUCAUAAACAUUUAAAAAAAAAUCUAAUUAAAAAUUUCGUGGAAGGGC